UCUAUGAGGAUGCCAUUUUAAGAACUCA
Molecule: non-coding RNA, 28 nt
Filed under: Mus musculus (house mouse)
Lineage: Eukaryota; Metazoa; Chordata; Mammalia; Rodentia; Muridae
Source: RNAcentral